CCGUAGUAGGUCUCCUAUGCUGGUUUUUCAUAUUUUUGCACCAUAUCAAGAGAAACGAGAUUCAAGUCGUGAUCGAGGAAAAAAAAUAAAGUUUACGAGGAAUAGGCUCGAUUGCUAAUAUUUUAUAUCGAGUUUUGACAAGCCAGCUCAGAAAUCGGGAACGGUCGGAGGCCCACUCACACUAUCCGUAUACCAUCUUGGCAUAAUGGCUUGUAUGUUUUGAGUAUGGCAUGUAUAGCAUUAUAAUCAUUUUGUAUAUAUGGUCUUAUGAUAUGGAUAUUGAGUGGUAUGGAAAUGCUUGGUAAUGAUUAGCCAUUGGAAUGGCUAAUCAUGAUCAUAUUUGGUGUUAUGUAUGCUAAAUUGCUAGCUAAUCCAUGGAAACCAUGAAAUAGGCAAAAUUUACCAUAAAA
Gossypium arboreum is the source of this 410-nucleotide long non-coding RNA. RefSeq lists it as uncharacterized. Lineage: Eukaryota; Viridiplantae; Streptophyta; Magnoliopsida; Malvales; Malvaceae. The record is from RefSeq and is a predicted model, not a curated record. The transcript has 2 exons.